This 440-nucleotide ribosomal RNA is filed under the name uncultured bacterium. RNAcentral describes it as "partial 16S ribosomal RNA". It matches the Rfam family "Bacterial small subunit ribosomal RNA", at positions 338 to 795 of the family's 1533-position model. The record is from RNAcentral.
CCUACGGGUGGCAGCAGUGGGGAAUAUUGCACAAUGGGGGAAACCCUGAUCCAGCGACGCCGCGUGAGUGAAGAAGUAUUUCGUUAUGUAAAGCUCUAUCAGCAGGGAAGAAAAUGACGGUACCUGACUAAGAAGCCCCGGCUAACUACGUGCCAGCAGCCGCGGUAAUACGUAGGGGGCAAGCGUUAUCCGGAUUUACUGGGUGUAAAGGGAGCGUAGACGGCAGUGCAAGUCUGGAGUGAAAGGCAGGGGCCCAACCCCGGGACUGCUCUGGAAACUGUGCGGCUGGAGUGCAGGGGAGGUAAGUGGAAUUCCUGGUGUAGCGGUGAAAUGCGUAGAUAUUAGGAGGAACACCGGUGGCGAAGGCGGCUUACUGGACUGUAACUGACGUUGAGGCUCGAAGGCGUGGGGAGCAAACAGGAUUAGAUACCCUUGUAGUC